CUUAACACAUGCAAGUCGAGGGGCAGCAUUUCAGUUUGCUUGCAAACUGGAGAUGGCGACCGGCGCACGGGUGAGUAACACGUAUCCAACCUGCCGAUAACUCGGGGAUAGCCUUUCGAAAGAAAGAUUAAUACCCGAUGGUAUAAUCAGACCGCAUGGUCUUGUUAUUAAAGAAUUUCGGUUAUCGAUGGGGAUGCGUUCCAUUAGGCAGUUGGUGAGGUAACGGCUCACCAAACCUUCGAUGGAUAGGGGUUCUGAGAGGAAGGUCCCCCACAUUGGAACUGAGACACGGUCCAAGCUCCUACGGGAGGCAGCAGUGAGGAAUAUUGGUCAAUGGGCGCAGGCCUGAACCAGCCAAGUAGCGUGAAGGAUGACUGCCCUAUGGGUUGUAAACUUCUUUUAUAUGGGAAUAAAGUUUUCCACGUGUGGAAUUUUGUAUGUACCAUAUGAAUAAGGAUCGGCUAACUCCGUGCCAGCAGCCGCGGUAAUACGGAGGAUCCGAGCGUUAUCCGGAUUUAUUGGGUUUAAAGGGAGCGUAGGUGGACAGUUAAGUCAGUUGUGAAAGUUUGCGGCUCAACCGUAAAAUUGCAGUUGAUACUGGCUGUCUUGAGUACAGUAGAGGUGGGCGGAAUUCGUGGUGUAGCGGUGAAAUGCUUAGAUAUCACGAAGAACUCCGAUUGCGAAGGCAGCUCACUGGACUGCAACUGACACUGAUGCUCGAAAGUGUGGGUAUCAAACAGGAUUAGAUACCCUGGUAGUCCACACAGUAAACGAUGAAUACUCGCUGUUUGCGAUAUACAGUAAGCGGCCAAGCGAAAGCAUUAAGUAUUCCACCUGGGGAGUACGCCGGCAACGGUGAAACUCAAAGGAAUUGACGGGGGCCCGCACAAGCGGAGGAACAUGUGGUUUAAUUCGAUGAUACGCGAGGAACCUUACCCGGGCUUAAAUUGCAUUUGAAUAUAUUGGAAACAGUAUAGCCGUAAGGCAAAUGUGAAGGUGCUGCAUGGUUGUCGUCAGCUCGUGCCGUGAGGUGUCGGCUUAAGUGCCAUAACGAGCGCAACCCUUAUCUUUAGUUACUAACAGGUCAUGCUGAGGACUCUAGAGAGACUGCCGUCGUAAGAUGUGAGGAAGGUGGGGAUGACGUCAAAUCAGCACGGCCCUUACGUCCGGGGCUACACACGUGUUACAAUGGGGGGUACAGAAGGCAGCUACCUGGUGACAGGAUGCUAAUCCCAAAAGCCUCUCUCAGUUCGGAUCGAAGUCUGCAACCCGACUUCGUGAAGCUGGAUUCGCUAGUAAUCGCGCAUCAGCCAUGGCGCGGUGAAUACGUUCCCGGGCCUUGUACACACCGCCCGUCAAGCCAUGAAAGCCGGGGGUACCUGAAGUACGUAACCGCAAGGAGCGUCCUAGGGUAAAACUGGUAAUUGGGGCA
This 1432-nucleotide ribosomal RNA is filed under the name uncultured organism. Its description in RNAcentral is "SSU rRNA". It matches the Rfam family "Bacterial small subunit ribosomal RNA". The record is from RNAcentral.